GACGAACGCUGGCGGCGUGCUUAACACAUGCAAGUCGAACGGAAAGGCCCUGCUUUUGUGGGGUGCUCGAGUGGCGAACGGGUGAGUAACACGUGAGUAACCUGCCCUUGACUUUGGGAUAACUUCAGGAAACUGGGGCUAAUACCGGAUAGGAGCUCCUGCUGCAUGGUGGUGGUUGGAAAGUUUCGGCGGUUGGGGAUGGACUCGCGGCUUAUCAGCUUGUUGGUGGGGUAGUGGCUUACCAAGGCUUUGACGGGUAGCCGGCCUGAGAGGGUGACCGGCCACAUUGCGACUGAGAUACGGCCCAGACUCCUACGGGAGGCAGCAGUGGGGAAUAUUGCACAAUGGGCGGAAGCCUGAUGCAGCAACGCCGCGGGCGGGAUGACGGCCUUCGGGUUGUAAACCGCUUUCGCCUGUGACGAAGCGUGAGUGACGGUAAUGGGUAAAGAAGCACCGGCUAACUACGUG
Molecule: ribosomal RNA, 468 nt
Filed under: uncultured bacterium
Lineage: Bacteria
Description: partial 16S ribosomal RNA
Rfam family: Bacterial small subunit ribosomal RNA
Source: RNAcentral